GCAGGCAGCAGCAGCAGCAGCAGCAGCAGCCAGUGACCCAGCAGCGCUGCGCCUGCGAUCGCGAUCCUCCGCUUCCAGCAGCAGCAGCAGGGGCAGGCAGCGCCCACUGAGUGUGGGAGGCCGGCGUGGGGCGGGUCUGAACGGAGCCGCCCCGACUCGUCUCUGGGCCCUCCGACCCCAGCCAGCCCCGCGGGGCCUCCGCCCGGCCUCUUCUCUCCGCCUGACGCUCCCUCUCCAGCGCCAUGGCGGCGGCGGCCGCCGCCGAGCCCAGCAGUGGCCGCUACCAGCAGUUGCAGAAUGAGGAGGAGCCUGGAGAGACUGAACACACUGUGAAUGAUGCCCCUCCACCUUACAGCAGCAUUUCUGGGGAGAAUGCAGAAUAUUUUGACUACAAAGAUGAGUCAGGGUUUCCCAAGCCCCCUUCUUAUAAUGUGGCCACAACACUGCCUAGUUACGAUGAAGCGGAGCGAAGUAAGGCUGAAGCUACCAUUCCCUUGGUUCCUGGAAGAGAAGAUGACUUUGUGGCACGGGAUGAUUUUGAUGAUACUGACCAGCUGAGGAUAGGAAAUGAUGGCAUCUUCAUGCUAACAUUCUUCAUGGCUUUUCUCUUCAACUGGAUUGGAUUUUUCUUGUCCUUCUGUCUGACCACUUCAGCUGCAGGACGAUAUGGGGCCAUUUCGGGGUUUGGUCUGUCUCUCAUUAAGUGGAUCUUGAUUGUCAGGUUCUCAACCUAUUUCCCUGGUUACUUUGAUGGUCAGUACUGGCUCUGGUGGGUUUUCCUUGUAUUAGGCUUUCUGCUGUUUCUCAGAGGAUUUAUCAAUUAUGCAAAGGUUCGGAAGAUGCCGGAUACAUUUUCCACUCUCCCCAGGACCAGAGUUCUCUUUAUUUACUAAAGUGUGUCUCUGUGGAUAAACGCUGUGCUGACAAGACUGGAGUCUUGCAAAGCUUGAAGGCAGGAAAUGAAAUAGGAUGCACAAUCCCGGAAGCUUGAAGUGUCCCUCAGGGGAGGCUUUCCCUAGAUGAGCCAGGAAGUAAAAUAUUGAUCAGGUCUUGCCAAGAAAAAUCUUUCUCCAGAAAAUCCUCUUGGGUUUUGAGUCCUGGUGGUAUGUGUUCUCGUUCCCUCUCUCUUCCCUUCCUCUUUCCCAAAUUCUUUUUAAAGAUGAUUGUUCCAGCCCAGCUAAUUCGGGAGUAUCACAUUAACUGGUAUUAUUUAUGGACUCUUAGAUUGUAAGGUAUAGAGGACAGGUAUUCUCUGUCUGCAUGUGUACCUCAUUUAUCAGUAUGGGGCCGUUAACUGCUACUGUAUUAUAAACAUUUAAAAUUUAUGAGCCUCAACUAAAGUUGGCUCUACCAGGCGAGGAGGGGCCUGAUGUGGUGUGGGGCAAGCCAAGUCUCCUUACCUUUCAUUGUUGUAAUGCUGUCUAGAGUACCCAAAUGGCCUACAUUGCCAUUGGUUCUGAACACCUCACAAACACCCCUGUGUAGUAGGGCAGUACUAUUAAGCCCAUUCUGCAGAUGAGGAACUGAGGCACGGCAAGACUGACCUGCCCAAAGUCAUAGAGCAAGUCUACCUUGGAGGAGGCAAAAGCAGAACUGAGAGAUCCUGAAUCCCAGUCUAGAGCCUUAAGCACAAAGUCAUUCAGCAGCAUUUUCCAGGGUAGUCGAUGCACUUUCACCCAGAUGAAAUUCACAGAGCUCUAAACCCCCCAGCCCUUUCUCUGCAAUAUCUCACAUGCAUUUCUAAUACCAUAACAUGCAUAAGGAUCAAAAAUGCUUUCCAUUUAAUCUCUGAGGAUAAGCAAGAAGGAUUCAACAUGCCAAAACCAAAAGGGCUUUCUGUCCUCCUUAUAGGCUCCAAAAUAACCUCUAAGCACCUUUCAAGUGAUUAGUUCCAACUCAAGGAGGGGAUGUUAGCAGGCACUAGAGUCAAACUUGCUGAGUCUUUCAUAGCACAACCUUUUAUUCUGUUCCCAAGAGCUGAUUUUGAUUCCAAUAUUCUAUGACCAGAGUAAAAACUUCCCAAGAGCAUAAAUAUGGGCUGUCCCCAAAUAUGAGCUUCCAGGUGCCAGAAAAAUUCCCUUAAAGGGUGAGGGGUUUUUUGCAAGUCAGUAACUUUUGCACAUCAAGUCAGUGACAUGUGCAGCUGUGUAAAAUAGGCACACAAAUCAAAAGCCUCAUUGCCCAAAUAGACUCUGGGAGCAAGAAAGCUCCAUGCCCAAUGAUGCAGUAUUUGGGGACUCGAUAGUACUGAGCCAUUUUUAAGAGGGUGUUUUUUAAUAUUUUUCGUUCCAUACAUGACUUAUUUUUGUUCUAACAUCUUAUUAUGUUUUCCUAUUGACAGUGAAGUGCUCUGAGAGUUAAUGUAAAACAGUCUUACA
Molecule: RNA transcript, 2378 nt
Organism: Dermochelys coriacea (leatherback sea turtle)
Lineage: Eukaryota; Metazoa; Chordata; Testudines; Dermochelyidae
Gene: NDFIP1
Gene name: Nedd4 family interacting protein 1
Exons: 9
Source: RefSeq, a predicted model, not a curated record